Long non-coding RNA from Callorhinchus milii (elephant shark), 712 nucleotides. RefSeq lists it as uncharacterized. NCBI's taxonomy places the organism in Eukaryota, Metazoa, Chordata, Chondrichthyes, Chimaeriformes, Callorhinchidae. The record is from RefSeq and is a predicted model, not a curated record. The transcript is spliced from 3 exons.
CUGGCGGAAGUGUGAGGUUCCGGGGCUUGUUAGGAAUCGCUCUCUUGCUUCUCCCAUCCGGGCCUUUGAAGCCAGCAGUGUUGUAACAUGUAGGGUUGUGCUUCGAGCACUUGCCUCGCAAGGACAGAACCCAGGUUCAAUUCUCAGUAUACCGUCAACUGUGAGCACAUCCACCUCCUACCUCACGUGUCGUUCAACCUGGGAGGAAGAGAGUAUGUGUUAAAAGGCGAAGACUACAUCAUGAAGGAAUCCCAGUUUGGAGAAGACGUGUGUGUGGUUGCCAUGAGUGGCAUGGACAUCCCCCCUCCUCAAGGGCCUCUCUGGAUCUUGGGAGCCAGCUUCAUUGGCCGCUAUUACACCGAAUUUGAUCACCAGAGGACCAGGAUAGGAUUUGCCACAGCGGUUUGAGAUGCCCGGGCGGGCAGGAGGGCAGGCGGCACAGCUCACAGUUUGCUCUUUCCCGGCGCACGGUUCCCGCUGUCGAUUGCCGCCCAUUCUUACGGUGCAAGCUGUCAAUUCCCGGCUGCGUAAAGAAAUACUUCCUGGUGUCUGUCCUUAAACGACCCUUAGAAUCAUAGACAUUUUACAGCGCAGAGGGAGGCUGUUUGGCCCAUCGAGUCUGUGCCAUCUUUCAGAGCCCAUUCAGCCCCACUGCCUGCCUGUCCUAUCCCCACACCCCUCCACCUUUCAUACCCAUUGAGACAUUAAACCA